This 429-nucleotide ribosomal RNA is filed under the name Gemmatimonadota bacterium. RNAcentral's name for it is "Gemmatimonadetes bacterium partial 16S ribosomal RNA". It matches the Rfam family "Bacterial small subunit ribosomal RNA", at positions 355 to 776 of the family's 1533-position model. The record is from RNAcentral. Lineage: Bacteria; Pseudomonadati; Gemmatimonadota.
UAGGGAAUCUUCGGCAAUGGACGAAAGUCUGACCGAGCAACGCCGCGUGAGUGAAGAAGGUUUUCGGAUCGUAAAACUCUGUUGUUAGAGAAGAACAAGGACGUUAGUAACUGAACGUCCCCUGACGGUAUCUAACCAGAAAGCCACGGCUAACUACGUGCCAGCAGCCGCGGUAAUACGUAGGUGGCAAGCGUUGUCCGGAUUUAUUGGGCGUAAAGCGAGCGCGGGCGGUUUCUUAAGUCUGAUGUGAAAGCCCCCGGCUCAACCGGGGAGGGUCAUUGGAAACUGGGAGACUUGAGUGCAGAAGAGGAGAGUGGAAUUCCAUGUGUGGCGGUGAAAUGCGUAGAUAUAUGGAGGAACACCAGUGGCGAAGGCGGCUCUCUGGUCUGUAACUGACGCUGAGGCUCGAAAGCGUGGGGAGCAAACAGG